GAAAUUGCUUCCGUUUGCGACCUCUGAGGGACCGGAUGGUGGCAUUUUGAUUAAUUUGCACUACAUGGAUGAGAAGCAUAGUUUCACUCCUGUUCAAAUUAUGGCAAUGCUAUUUGCACAUUUGAAGCAAAUUGCUGAGAAGAAUCUGGAAACGGAUGUUUCAGAUUGUGUUAUUGGCAUACCUUCAUACUUCACAGAUUUACAGAGACGUGCUUAUUUGAAUGCAGCAGAAAUCGCUGGGUUGAAGCCAUUGCGAUUGAUGCAUGAUGGCACUGCAAC
This 279-nucleotide unclassified non-coding RNA is filed under the name Hevea brasiliensis (rubber tree). The record is from RNAcentral. Lineage: Eukaryota; Viridiplantae; Streptophyta; Magnoliopsida; Malpighiales; Euphorbiaceae.